Molecule: ribosomal RNA, 468 nt
Filed under: uncultured bacterium
Lineage: Bacteria
Description: partial 16S ribosomal RNA
Rfam family: Bacterial small subunit ribosomal RNA
Source: RNAcentral
GACGAACGCUGGCGGCGUGCUUAACACAUGCAAGUCGAACGGAAAGGCCCUGCUUUUGUGGGGUGCUCGAGUGGCGAACGGGUGAGUAACACGUGAGUAACCUGCCCUUGACUUUGGGAUAACUUCAGUAAACUGGGGCUAAUACCGGAUAGGAGCUCCUGCUGCAUGGUGGGGGUUGGAAAGUUUCGGCGGUUGGGGAUGGACUCGCGGGUUAUCAGCUUGUUGGUGGGGUAGUGGCUUACCAAGGCUUUGACGGGUAGCCGGCCUGAGAGGGUGACCGGCGAAAUGGGGACUGAGAUACGGCACAGAGUCCUACGGGAGGCAGCAGUGGGGAAUAUUGCACAAUGGGCGGAAGCCUGAUGCAGCAACGCCGCGUGCGGGAUGACGGCCUUCGGGUUGUAAACCGAUUUAGAAUGUGACGAAGCGUGAGUGACGGUAAUGGGUAAAGAAGCACCGGCUAACCACGUG